RNAcentral lists this long non-coding RNA (550 nucleotides) under Medicago truncatula (barrel medic). Its description in RNAcentral is "lncRNA gene35478". The record is from RNAcentral. Lineage: Eukaryota; Viridiplantae; Streptophyta; Magnoliopsida; Fabales; Fabaceae.
GUGGAUUUCAUCCCGAAAUUGGCUUAAGAGUUCUCUUUGAUAAAUCAUUAAUAACCUAUGGGAGGUUUUCUACGAUUUCUAUGCAUCGUUUGUUAAAAGAACUUGGCAGGAGUAUCAUUAAAGAAAAAUCACCCAAAGAACCAAGAAAGUGGAACAGGUUGUGGGACCACAAGGAUGUCCACAAUGUUAUCUCGGAAAAAAUGGCGACAGAGAACCUUGAAGCCAUAGUUAUGGAGCGAUGUACAGAAAAUAAGGCUGAAGUAGAAGCAAUGACAACAUUGAGGGCUGAAGCUUUAGCAAAGAUGACUCGCCUUAAAUUGCUCAAGCUGCGUGAUUUGAAUUUCUCAGGAAGUCUCAAUUUUCUUUCAAGUGAAUUGGGGUAUCUAUAUUGGGAAAAAUAUCCUUUCACAUGUUUGCCAUCAAGUUUUCAGCCGGAUAAACUUGUUGAAUUGAUCCUACGUUCUAGCAACAUCAGGCAACUAUGGAAGGGAACAAAGCCUCUUCACAAUUUGACACAUAUUGAUCUCUCUCACUCGAAAAAUCUUAUUAU